RNAcentral lists this unclassified non-coding RNA (550 nucleotides) under Coreopsis connata. RNAcentral describes it as "partial external transcribed spacer". Lineage: Eukaryota; Viridiplantae; Streptophyta; Magnoliopsida; Asterales; Asteraceae. The record is from RNAcentral.
UCCACCUGGCUUACCUCUUCAGUUGUUUGUUUUGGUUUGUAUCGCCAAAGCAGAUUGUGGGUUUCGUGUGUUGCGUACCUAAGUGAUGGUAUUGUCCCGAUUGAUCAUAGUUGCUUUCGUCUUGUGCCAUUUGCUUGGCAUUAGAUGAACCAUGAAGCAGGCCCUUUGAUCCAGAAUGUUAAUGUUAUGUUGAUGUUGUGGCCCAUUGUGCUUUUGCUUGGUAUCCUGGAUACGGAACAUGAUAUGGGCACGGGGUCUCAUGGGAUCCUUGUUCUGCCCUCGGUUAGCGUUUACACGUCUCUUGAUACGACUUGCCCAGCCCGCAUUGGCACGUACCAGCGGUGGGUUAUGUCAAAGAGAUGUGUUUGUGCGACUCUUAAUACGACUUGCCCAGCCCGCAUUGGCUCGUACCAGCGGGUGGGUUUUGUCAAAGAGUUGUGCAUCUCUCUGAAUGACUGCCUUGCCUGCAUUGGCUCGUACCAGCGGGAUGGUUAUGUCAAAGAGGAAUGCUACCUGGUUGAUCCUGCCAGUAGUCAUAUGCUUGUCUCAA